RNAcentral lists this ribosomal RNA (491 nucleotides) under uncultured bacterium. RNAcentral's name for it is "partial 16S ribosomal RNA". It matches the Rfam family "Bacterial small subunit ribosomal RNA", at positions 29 to 507 of the family's 1533-position model. The record is from RNAcentral.
AGUGAACGCUGGCGGUAGGCCUAACACAUGCAAGUCGAACGGCAGCACAGUAAGAGCUUGCUCUUACGGGUGGCGAGUGGCGGACGGGUGAGGAAUACAUCGGAAUCUACUUUUUCGUGGGGGAUAACGUAGGGAAACUCACGCUAAUACCGCAUACGACCUACGGGUGAAAGCAGGGGAUCUUCGGACCUUGCGCGAUUGAAUGAGCCGAUGUCGGAUUAGCUAGUUGGCGGGGUAAGGCCCACCAAGGCGACGAUCCGUAGCUGGUCUGAGAGGAUGAUCAGCCACACUGGAACUGAGACACGGUCCAGACUCCUACGGGAGGCAGCAGUGGGGAAUAUUGGACAAUGGGCGCAAGCCUGAUCCAGCCAUACCGCGUGGGUGAAGAAGGCCUUCGGGUUGUAAAGCCCUUUUGUUGGGAAAGAAAAGCAGCAGGUUAAUACCCCGCUGUUCUGACGGUACCCAAAGAAUAAGCACCGGCUAACUUCGUG